CAUAAAACAAAAUAAAAUAAAUAAAUAAAUAAAUAAUGAGAAAGUUUUAAUAAAAAAAAAAAAAAGGAAAAAUUUGAAUUUAUCAUUUAUUCUAUCAAUUUAAAGUGGUAUAUAUAUAUAUAUAUAUAUAGAGAGAGAUAUAUACAUAUGUGUACCGCAAGAAACAACGAAACAAAAACACAGUACGAACAAGUUCGAUGAAAAAAAAAGAGCGGAAUAACAAAUUUUUUUUAUUAACCAAACGGGAGUAAAAAUAGUAAGUAUGCAUAUCGACACACACGUGCCCAUACGUAUAUAUAUAAAUAUAUAUCUGUAUAUAUACAUAUUUGCAUUUGUAUAUUUACUAGAAUGUAAAAAUGAAUGAGGAUAAUGAUAUUAAACUAAUGGAGAGUAGUAUUAAUGACUCUAUAUGGAAUGAAACAAAUUUAAAAAACAACUAUAAUAAUAAUAAUAAUGUAAAUAGUCACUAUAUGUGUUCUGAUAUCAUAUCUUGUGAUGAAAAAAAAAUGAUAAUACAAACAUUAAAUGCUAGUACUACUAAUUGUGUUAAUGAUAAAGUUAUAUACGAAGCACCUCGACUUUAUACAGAUCGUGUCACUGGUACUGUAAAAAAUACUGAUUGUAGUUAUAUUGUUAAUAGUAACAAUGCGAGUGGAAACAAUACACAUCAAGAUAUUAGCGAGGAAGAAAAUGUCGAAAAUUCUUUACUCGAAGAUGGAGAAAUCAAAAAUGAAACAUCCAUUUCAGAUGUACUCUGUAAUAAAAACAGUACAAAUGGUACCACAGAUAUAAAAAUAAACACCCAUUUUAAUAGCGACACAAAUGAUACUAAUGAUAAUAAUACGUGUAAUAGUUACAAUAGUAAUAAUGAAAACAACAAUAAUAACUACAACUGCAGUGGUAGGAAGCGCGAGGAGAGUGAAAAUAAAAAUCAUGAAUCACAACUAUCUUUAUUAUCAGCCGAUGGUAAUGAAAAUAAUAGCGCUAUGUUUUCAAAGAAAGAACACAUAGAAAUAAUGCAAAAUAUAAUAAAUUUUAAUAAAAAUGAAAUGGAAUUAAAUUUAAGUAGAGGGGAAUUAUAUUUAACUGAAGAAGAAUAUAUUUUUAUUUCUUCUCUUUUAGUAUCUAGUGGAUUUAGAUUUUAUUCUUUUGAAGAUAUGAUAAAAAAAAAAAAAAAAAAAAGAGAUAUAUAUAAUAAUAUGACUAUAGAUGAGUCAGAUUUAACAAAUUAUAAACGAUCAAAAAGUGAUAUUAUUUUUUAUGCACGUAAUAACAUAUAUAAUAAUAAGUAUGGUAAUUAUAAUGAUAAACAUGGAUAUCCAAGCGAUAAAAAUAGCACUUAUAGCGACAUAAAUUGUAGUAUGAAUGAAAUAAUAGAAGAAUAUAAUAAUAAUAGUAAUAAACUAUCAAACUACAAUACAUCAUCUAUAUUAUUAGAAAAUAUAAAUAAUUCAUCAUUAAACAAGUUACAUGAAGGAAAUAAAAAUAGUAUGAACGAAAUGACAGAUGAUGCUACUAUGAAUGAUAAAGAUGGUGUGACACGCGCUGUUAGUAGUAGUAGUAGUUGUAGUAGUAAAACAAAAGUAGAAUCAUGUAAUGAAAAAGAACUUAGUGCAGAAGAAAAAGAACAAAUUGAAUUAUGUGAGGAAGUAAUUAUACAAUUGAAAAAAUAUUAUUAUGAUAGAAUAAUGAAUUUAGAGAGUCAUUUUAAUAAUCUAGAUGAUAAAAUAGAACAUAAUAAUUUUUUUUAUUUUAAUUGUAUAAUGGAUAAAUUAAAAAAUAGAAAAUAUAAAAAUAUAUUAUUAAUUUAUAAUGAUAUAUAUUCAUAUAUAAAUAAUUUAUUAUAUUUAUCAAAACCAUCUAGUUAUAUUUGGAUGAAAAUACACGAACUGUCAACUCAGAUAACUAAUACAAUUUUAAAUAUACAAAAAACAAAAGUAGAUACGUAUAAAAAUAUGACUUAUCAUAGUAGUCUGCAAAACAACAUGUACAACAACAUGUACAACAACACAUAUAACAACAUGUACAACAACACGUAUAACAACACGUAUAACAACACGUACAACCACGAUUGUAAUAAUUUAUAUGCUACUAGUAAUGACGAAGCAGAUGGUGAACAAUUUCGACAAAGACAUUUUGGAGAUAGAAAUCAAUUUAACAAACAAAUAGGCAAUAAUGAAACGAUUGAAAAUGUGAUUACUGAGGAAGAAAAGUUAGCGUUUCAAAUGCUACUUGCAAAGUUGCACCAGGAUAUACACUUCGAAGUAAUAACAAACAAACAAACAAACAAACAAAUAGUAAAAACGGAACAUAUGCGUAUACUUACGCUUAUUAUUUUAUUAACAUAUAGAGAGCCA
Molecule: long non-coding RNA, 2357 nt
Filed under: Piliocolobus tephrosceles (Ugandan red Colobus)
Lineage: Eukaryota; Metazoa; Chordata; Mammalia; Primates; Cercopithecidae
Description: lncRNA (ENSPTEG00000002936.1)
Source: RNAcentral